Molecule: ribosomal RNA, 274 nt
Filed under: uncultured bacterium
Lineage: Bacteria
Description: partial 16S ribosomal RNA
Rfam family: Bacterial small subunit ribosomal RNA
Source: RNAcentral
AUACGGAGGGUGCGAGCGUUAAUCGGAAUUACUGGGCGUAAAGCGCGCGUAGGCGGAUAAUUAAGUCAGAUGUGAAAUCCCCGGGCUCAACCUGGGAACUGCAUUUGAUACUGAUUAACUAGAGUAUGGUAGAGGUGAGUGGAAUUUCCGGUGUAGCGGUGAAAUGCGGAGAGCUCGGAAGGAACACCAGUGGCGAAGGCGACUCACUGGGCCAUUACUGACGCUGAGGUGCGAAAGCGUGGGUAGCAAACAGGAUUAGAAACCCUAGUAGUCC